This 435-nucleotide ribosomal RNA is filed under the name uncultured bacterium. RNAcentral's name for it is "bacterial SSU rRNA". It matches the Rfam family "Bacterial small subunit ribosomal RNA", at positions 355 to 786 of the family's 1533-position model. The record is from RNAcentral.
UGAGGAAUAUUGGUCAAUGGGCGAUAGCCUGAACCAGCCAAGUAGCGUGCGGGAUGAAGGCCCUCCGGGUCGUAAACCGCUUUUAGACGGGGAUAAAAGGGCGUACGUGUACGCCGUAUUGCAUGUACCGUCAGAAAAAGGACCGGCUAAUUCCGUGCCAGCAGCCGCGGUAAUACGGAAGGUCCGGGCGUUAUCCGGAUUUAUUGGGUUUAAAGGGAGCGUAGGCGGACUUUCAAGUCAGUGGUAAAAUCGUGUGGCUCAACCAUACCUCGCCAUUGAAACUGGAAGUCUGGAGUGCACACAGGGGUGCCGGAAUUCAUGGUGUAGCGGUGAAAUGCUUAGAUAUCAUGAAGAACUCCGAUCGCGAAGGCAAGUGCCCGGGGUGCAACUGACGCUGAGGCUCGAAGGUGCGGGUAUCGAACAGGAUUAGAUACC